RNAcentral lists this ribosomal RNA (405 nucleotides) under uncultured bacterium. RNAcentral's name for it is "partial 16S ribosomal RNA". It matches the Rfam family "Bacterial small subunit ribosomal RNA", at positions 28 to 526 of the family's 1533-position model. The record is from RNAcentral.
GAUGAACGCUGGCGGCGUGCCUAAUACAUGCAAGUCGAGCGAAGCGGGGACGGGUGAGUAACACGUGGAUAACCUCCUAUAAGACUGGGAUAACUUCGGGAAACCGGAGCUAAACCGGAUACUUAUAGAUCGCUCCGCGCUGCAUUAGCUAGUUGGUAAGGUAACGGCUUACCAAGGCAACGAUACAUAGCCGAACUGAGAGGGUUAGCGGCCACGAUGGAAGUGAGACACGGUCCAGAAUCCGACGGGAGGCAUCAGUAGGGAGUCAAACGAAAUGGGCGAAAGCCUGACGGAGCAACGGCGCGUGAGUAAUGAAAAUCUUCGAAUCAUAAAACUCUGUUAUGAGGGAAGCGGUACCUAAUCAGAGAGCCAGGACUAACUACGUGCCAGCAGCCGCGGUAAUUC